RNAcentral lists this transfer RNA (67 nucleotides) under Marmota monax (woodchuck). Its description in RNAcentral is "tRNA.Ile". The record is from RNAcentral. Lineage: Eukaryota; Metazoa; Chordata; Mammalia; Rodentia; Sciuridae.
UCUGUAGCUCAGUGGUAGAGCACUUGCCCUAUAUAUCAAGGUCUUGGGUUUGAUCCCCAGCGCUGAG